UACGAAGGGGGCUAGCGUUGCUCGGAAUCACUGGGCGUAAAGCGCACGUAGGCGGAUUCUUAAGUCAGGGGUGAAAUCCUGGAGCUCAACUCCAGAACUGCCUUUGAUACUGGGAAUCUUCGAGUCCGGGAGAGGUGAGUGGAACUGCGAGUGUAGAGGUGAAAUUCGUAGAUAUUCGCAAGAACACCAGUGGCGAGGGCGGCUCACUGGCCCGGUACUGACGCUGAGGUGCGAAAGCGUGGGGAGCAAACAGG
This 254-nucleotide ribosomal RNA is filed under the name uncultured bacterium. RNAcentral's name for it is "partial 16S ribosomal RNA". It matches the Rfam family "Bacterial small subunit ribosomal RNA", at positions 524 to 776 of the family's 1533-position model. The record is from RNAcentral.